Molecule: ribosomal RNA, 253 nt
Filed under: uncultured bacterium
Lineage: Bacteria
Description: partial 16S ribosomal RNA
Rfam family: Bacterial small subunit ribosomal RNA
Source: RNAcentral
UACGUAGGGGGCAAGCGUUAUCCGGAUUCACUGGGCGUAAAGGGAGCGCAGGCGGCAUGGCAAGUCUGAUGUGAGAACCCGGGGCCCAACCCCGGGAGUGCAUUGGAAACUGCCAGGCUGGAGUGUCGGAGGGGUAAGCGGAAUUCCUAGUGUAGCGGUGAAAUGCGUAGAUAUUAGGAGGAACACCAGUGGCGAAGGCGGCUUACUGGACGACUACUGACGCUGAGGCUCGAAAGCGUGGGGAGCAAACAGG